GAUGAACGCUGGCGGCGUGCCUAAUACAUGCAAGUCGAGCGAACGGACGAGAAGCUUGCUUCUCUGAUGUUAGCGGCGGACGGGUGAGUAACACGUGGAUAACCUACCUAUAAGACUGGGAUAACUUCGGGAAACCGGAGCUAAUACCGGAUAAUAUUUUGAACCGCAUGGUUCAAAAGUGAAAGACGGUCUUGCUGUCACUUAUAGGUGGAUCCGCGCUGCAUUAGCUAGUUGGUAAGGUAACGGCUUACCAAGGCAACGAUGCAUAGCCGACCUGAGAGGGUGAUCGGCCACACUGGAACUGAGACACGGUCCAGACUCCUACGGGAGGCAGCAGUAGGGAAUCUUCCGCAAUGGGCGAAAGCCUGACGGAGCAACGCCGCGUGAGUGAUGAAGGUCUUCGGAUCGUAAAACUCUGUUAUUAGGGAAGAACAUAUGUGUAAGUAACUGUGCACAUCUUGACGGUACCUAAUCAGAAAGCCACGGCUAACUACGUGCCAGCAGCCGCGGUAAUACGUAGGUGGCAAGCGUUAUCCGGAAUUAUUGGGCGUAAAGCGCGCGUAGGCGGUUUUUUAAGUCUGAUGUGAAAGCCCACGGCUCAACCGUGGAGGGUCAUUGGAAACUGGAAAACUUGAGUGCAGAAGAGGAAAGUGGAAUUCCAUGUGUAGCGGUGAAAUGCGCAGAGAUAUGGAGGAACACCAGUGGCGAAGGCGACUUUCUGGUCUGUAACUGACGCUGAUGUGCGAAAGCGUGGGGAUCAAACAGGAUUAGAUACCCUGGUAGUCCACGCCGUAAACGAUGAGUGCUAAGUGUUAGGGGGUUUCCGCCCCUUAGUGCUGCAGCUAACGCAUUAAGCACUCCGCCUGGGGAGUACGACCGCAAGGUUGAGACUCAAGGGAAUUGACGGGGACCCGCACAAGCGGUGGAGCAUGUGGUUUAAUUCGAAGCAACGCGAAGAACCUUACCAAAUCUUGACAUCCUUUGACAACUCUAGAGAUAGAGCCUUCCCCUUCGGGGGACAAAGUGACAGGUGGUGUAUGGUUGUCGUCAGCUCGUGUCGUGAGAUGUUGGGUUAAGUCCCGCAACGAGCGCAACCCUUAAGCUUAGUUGCCAUCAUUAAGUUGGGCACUCUAAGUUGACUGCCGGUGACAAACCGGAGGAAGGUGGGGAUGACGUCAAAUCAUCAUGCCCCUUAUGAUUUGGGCUACACACGUGCUACAAUGGACAAUACAAAGGGCAGCGAAACCGCGAGGUCAAGCAAAUCCCAUAAAGUUGUUCUCAGUUCGGAUUGUAGUCUGCAACUCGACUACAUGAAGCUGGAAUCGCUAGUAAUCGUAGAUCAGCAUGCUACGGUGAAUACGUUCCCGGGUCU
This 1372-nucleotide ribosomal RNA is filed under the name uncultured bacterium. RNAcentral's name for it is "bacterial SSU rRNA". It matches the Rfam family "Bacterial small subunit ribosomal RNA", at positions 28 to 1381 of the family's 1533-position model. The record is from RNAcentral.